GAGGCUCCACGGGAGAAUCUUGCCUCUUCCAGUUUAGAGUGGCUGCUGGAAUUCCUCGGAAGAUGGGGCACACCGGACUUUAGGCUGAUGGAGAGGAGGCUGUGGACACCGAGAGACUAGAGAACAUCGAGAAAGGGAGACCCCUGGAGGCAAGAAACUAUAAGACUGGGCUUCCCUGGUGGCGCAGUGGUUGAGAAUCUGCCUGCCGAU
This is a long non-coding RNA of Balaenoptera ricei (Rice's whale), 210 nucleotides long. RefSeq lists it as uncharacterized. The transcript has 3 exons. The record is from RefSeq and is a predicted model, not a curated record. Lineage: Eukaryota; Metazoa; Chordata; Mammalia; Artiodactyla; Balaenopteridae.